AGUGAACGCUGGCGGUAGGCCUAACACAUGCAAGUCGAACGGCAGCACAGUAAGAGCUUGCUCUUACGGGUGGCGAGUGGCGGACGGGUGAGGAAUACAUCGGAAUCUACUUUUUCGUGGGGGCUAACGUAGGGAAACUUACGCUAAUACCGCAUACGACCUACGGGUGAAAGCAGGGGAUCUUCGGACCUUGCGCGAUUGAAUGAGCCGAUGUCGGAUUAGCUAGUUGGCGGGGUAAAGGCCCACCAAGGCGACGAUCCGUAGCUGGUCUGAGAGGAUGAACAGCCACACUGGAACUGAGACACGGUCCAGACUCCUACGGGAGGCAGCAGUGGGGAAUAUUGGACAAUGGGCGCAAGCCUGAUCCAGCCAUACCGCGUGGGUGAAGAAGGCCUUCGGGUUGGAAAGCCCUUUUGUUGGGAAAGAAAAGCAGCAGGUUAAUACCCCGCUGUUCUGACGGUACCCAAAGAAUAAGCACCGGCUAACUUCGUG
This 492-nucleotide ribosomal RNA is filed under the name uncultured bacterium. Its description in RNAcentral is "partial 16S ribosomal RNA". It matches the Rfam family "Bacterial small subunit ribosomal RNA", at positions 29 to 507 of the family's 1533-position model. The record is from RNAcentral.